CCUAAUUUUUUUACCGACGAUAUCUAUCACACCGGCCAGAAUCAAGUACAGCCAGUAAGUCCAUUCGUUAUGACUUCUAUUACCAACAGAGUCGUCGCUUCCUGCUUAAACCCUUUAAAUUCAGAAUCGAUAAAUCGCCGGUGUGCCAUUGCGGAUAUGCUUCGUAGUACCUUCUACAAGCGCGCACGUGAGGACCUAGCUUUAUGUCACCGCUUGUUGCACAUUCCAUAUAACGAACCAGAGCCUGACUCAAAGGUGAUUUCUGAAAUCAUUAGUAUAGUUUCAAAGAAAGAAGCAUCGGUUACUGUUUCUGCCUCCGGGUUAAGCCUUCUUUGCUCGUAUGAUCAUCUUUUGAUGAGGUUGUGUGUUUUUGAGCUGAGAGGCGUAAUGUUCAGUAAUGUCAAAUCCCAAAUUAACCGAGCUUUCAGUUGAUUCCAAUGGCUGGAUUUUGCUACAUUCAAGUGUUAGUUCCUGUGAUGUUCCUAAGUACUGAAACUGGACACUACUUGUAUGUUUGUGAAGCCACAAGCUGAGCAUAUGAUCCGGAACGAGGUCUCCAAGUUCAGGGACCAACUUUCUUUCGCAAAGCUGGCUUGUAACAGCGGUCAAAACAGGAGAUUACAUUACUUGCUUCUCUGCCGUCAAUCACUAACCAGAGACGAUGCUAAUCAUUGACUUUGAUUGGAGGACAAGUAUUCAUGCGAAGGACUGGUCGAAUGUGGCCAAGAAGAGCCAAGUCGAAGUAAGUUUUCCGCUUGUUCUUUAGUUUUAAAGGUCUUAAUUUAGUCAAAGUAAACUCAUAGACGAGAUAGAUGGACAAUUCUAUGACAGAGGAGAAUUGAGGAUUGUAUGAGGAAUUGAUAGCUAAAAUUAGACAUAUUGGUGGAAAGUGGUAAGUUAUAUCUGAACUGAGAAAUUCUGUAUUCUUUUAAUUUCUAUGAUAUGUUUAGUGCAUUGUAUUGGUUCAAACCAGGCAAUGAGUUUGAGUCUGCACAUUGCUUAGUGAUUCUAAAGACCUCUUAGACCAUCUUAAUCUGGGUCUCUUGGGCGUUUCUUAGACUAGGAUAAUAAUAAUAAUAAUAAUAAUAAUAAUAAUAAUAAUAAUAAUAAUAUAUAUAUAUAUAUAUAUUUGAUUCAAGCCCAAAAGUUUUAGAAACGUUUCUUAUUUGGGGAACAAUAAAAAACGGUCUCUUUUACCACAUGUAGUUUGAAAAGUGGCUAUUUUGACUGAUUUUAACCUGUGUUUACUAAUCUUUUUAGGAGUUUUUAGAGUCUUUUUCAGGUUGUUUCAUGUGACUAUGAGGCUUUAGCUGAGGAUUGGAUGGUCUAAAAGACUUUGGAGCAAAAAGAGAUGAAGCUGAGCAAAAAGGAGCAAAUUUCAUACGUAAUUAAAGAAGUCUUCCGCGGAGCACCUGCUCUCGAUUUCGACCUUCUGUGUGGAGCACCUGCUCCAACUGGGAGAAAAAUAAGGAAAAUGAUUUUAACCUAAUUCUGGGACCAGAAAGAGAAUAAAAAGUCCAGAGCCGCCUCAGAAACAGACCCACGUUUUAUAGAACUUUUUUUAUGCUUUCUUUUUACAAUAUUUCUGAACCAGAGAGUUUUUACUUGUAAGUUUUUGGGAGAAGAAAUCUGCUAUAGUUUGAGAAGAAUUCUGAACCCUAUUAUCUCUUCUGCAAUUU
Molecule: RNA transcript, 1679 nt
Organism: Eutrema salsugineum
Lineage: Eukaryota; Viridiplantae; Streptophyta; Magnoliopsida; Brassicales; Brassicaceae
Exons: 3
Source: RefSeq, a predicted model, not a curated record